This 799-nucleotide ribosomal RNA is filed under the name uncultured bacterium. Its description in RNAcentral is "bacterial SSU rRNA". It matches the Rfam family "Bacterial small subunit ribosomal RNA", at positions 110 to 904 of the family's 1533-position model. The record is from RNAcentral.
GUAACACAUCGGAACGUACCCAGUUGUGGGGGAUAGCCCGGCGAAAGCCGGAUUAAUACCGCAUACGACCUGAGGGUGAAAGGGGGGGAUCGCAAGACCUCUCGCAGUUGGAGCGGCCGAUGGCGGAUUAGCUAGUUGGUGAGGUAAAGGCUCACCAAGGCGACGAUCCGUAGCUGGUCUGAGAGGACGACCAGCCACACUGGAACUGAGACACGGUCCAGACUCCUACGGGAGGCAGCAGUGGGGAAUUUUGGACAAUGGGGGCAACCCUGACCCAGCCAUUCCGCGUGAGUGAAGAAGGCCUUCGGGUUGUAAAGCUCUUUCGGCAGGAACGAAACGGUGUGGGCCAAUACCCUGCAUCAAUGACGGUACCUGAAGAAGAAGCACCGGCUAACUACGUGCCAGCAGCCGCGGUAAUACGUAGGGUGCGAGCGUUAAUCGGAAUUACUGGGCGUAAAGCGUGCGCAGGCGGUUCUAUAAGACAGAUGUGAAAUCCCCGGGCUUAACCUGGGAACUGCGUUUGUGACUGUAGGACUCGAGUGUGGCAGAGGGGGGUGGAAUUCCACGUGUAGCAGUGAAAUGCGUAGAGAUGUGGAGGAACACCGAUGGCGAAGGCAGCCCCCUGGGUUAACACUGACGCUCACGCACGAAAGCGUGGGGAGCAAACAGGAUUAGAUACCCUGGUAGUCCACGCCCUAAACGAUGCGAACUAGGUGUUGGAGAAGGAGACUUCUUUAGUACCGUAGCUAACGCGUGAAGUUCGCCGCCUGGGGAGUACGGUCGCAAGAUUAAAACUCAA